Molecule: long non-coding RNA, 1070 nt
Filed under: Homo sapiens (human)
Lineage: Eukaryota; Metazoa; Chordata; Mammalia; Primates; Hominidae
Description: HSALNT0300676
Source: RNAcentral
CAACAUUAGGCAUAUAAAUCCUACCUGUCUUCACACACUUACACACUAAAACUCCCACAGAAAGGGGGAAAAUUAGAAAAGGGGUGAUAUAAUUUGACUCUGUGUCACCACCCAAAUCUCAUCUUGAAUUGUAAUCCCCGUAAUUUCUCACCUGGCAAGAGUGGGACCAGGUGGAGACAAUUGGAUCAUGGGGGCAGUUUUCCCCAUGCUCUUCUCGUGAUAAUGAUUGAGUCUCAUGGGAUCUGAUGAUUCUAUAAGUGUCUGGCUUUUCUCCUACUUGCACUCACUCCAUCCUGCCACCCUGCGAGGAAGGUGCCUGCUUCUUCUUUGCCUUCCGCCGUGAGUGUGAGUCUCCUGAGGCCUCCCCAGCAAUGUGGAACUGAUACGUCAUGGAACAGAGGGCAACCUGCCUCCUGGAAAUGUGGAGUGUCUAGGGAGUCACAGCUGAGAUCUUCCUUGGAUUAAAGGCUGCGGGUGUCACAAACAGAAUGAUACGGUUUGGCUGUGUCCCCACCUAAAUCUCACCUUGAGUUCCUAUGUGCUGUGAAAGGGACCUGAUGGGAGGUAACUGAAUCAUGGGGGCAGGUCUUUCCUGUGCUCAUGAUAGUGAGUAAGUCUCAAGAAAUCUGAUGGUUUUUACAAGGGGGAAUUUUCCUGCACAAGCUCUCUUUGCCUGCUGCCACCCAUGUAAGACGUGACUUGCUGCUCAUUGCCUUCUGCCGUGAUUGUGAAGCUUCCCCAGCAACGUGGAACAGUUGUCUCUUCACUCUGCUGAUUGUGUAUUUUGCUGUUCAGAAGCUUUUCAGUUUGAUACAGCCUCACUCGCUCAUUCAGGUGUUGGACAGAGAAGAGGAUCACUCUCUCUCUAGCAAGCCAAGUAGUUCCCUGAUCUUCUUUCCCCAAGGCUGUCACUGUCAGUAGAAUCUAGAGGACUGAGCCAUGAGUUGUCCACAAACCUAAUAACAUCCUUGUUGUCUUCAGCACAACAAGUUUACUUACUAUGCAAUGUCAACAAAGUUUUAUGAUAAAAUAUUUGGACUGAAAUAAACACAGUCUCGCCUGACUUUUUC